Molecule: long non-coding RNA, 1792 nt
Filed under: Eutrema salsugineum
Lineage: Eukaryota; Viridiplantae; Streptophyta; Magnoliopsida; Brassicales; Brassicaceae
Description: long non-coding RNA (ESAL_LNC001546)
Source: RNAcentral
GCAUUGUUCCCAUAUAUAAAGGUUUUAUUACAACGUAUGUACACACAAAAAAAGAAUGGUUCUGUGGUUACAAAGUAAAGCAUAUAUUCUCGACAAUACACUCAAACAGAAAAGAACAAAAAUGAAAGAAAAAGUUGUGGUAGCCGGUAACUUGUUCUUUUGCAACUUGUGACUCCUUUUGUAAUGUUCUGCCAUCUACAAAGCUGUACCACAUGUCUUUUGCAACUUGCCCUGAAAACAACGAAGUUAACAAGCAUGGACAAUAUAUAAACAAUUAUUGAUAACAUGACACAACACAUGACAAAGAUUAUAGAGAAUAUCAUUGAUAACAUGAAAAAGCCUUUAUAGAAAAUAACAGAGAAUAUCAAACAAACAUAGCAUUGAUAACAUAACAUGAAACAACGGUUACAAACAGACAUUAGUUUUCCAAUAUCUCGCACAUAAUCUUCAUCUUCACAACUUCUUCAACUUCCGAGAGAGGUUCCUUCUUUGCAAUAAGAGUAUCUAACAGCGCCAUCUGCGUGACCCUAUUCUUCAUCUUCAUUUCCUUAUCCUUUAUAGUCCACAAACCCUGGAACUCAUUGACAGCCUUACCUUCCACAAACCCUGUCUUUUUAGCUUUGGCCUUUGAGGCUUUAACUCCAAGAGGUCGGGUUAUGGUUUCAACAGCUUCGGUGGCAUUGUUCCCAUCUACAUUCGGACUUGUAGCUGGUGCACCAUCCUCAGUUCUUCUCCGUUUGCUGUUUCCAUCGGUUUUAGUGGUUGAGAUUUCACACCACUUCUGGUCAUUCUUCAACUCUUUCCAAGCAUGCUCCAAGGUGAAUCUUUUCUUGUGGUCACUGUAGAAGAUUGCAUGAGCUUGUUUCAGAACAUCAACCUCGUUUUGACCACUUCCUUUAGCUCGUGUAGCUGCCUCAUAAGCUCCACAAAAUUUACACACAAGAUCGUUGAUCUUGUGCCAACGCUGUUUGCAUUGCCCUGCCCCUCGGGAAUCACCUCCUGGACCCUUCUGACUAGCCGCAUAAUAGAGUGCAACCCUAGACCAAAACGCAUCCAACUUCUGCUCAUUGCCCACAACUGGGUCUUUACUCGUGUUCAGCCACGAGCUGAUGAGCAGAAUGUCAUCUGCGGGAGUCCAUGUUCUUCUCUCUCGAGCUUUUGCUGUCUGCUUGCUCGUGCCUUCAUCGAUGAAACCUUCUUGAGUGCCAGCCUGUGUUGAAUAUGCUGGGAGAUUGAGUGAAGGAAAGGGAUUAGGGUAUGGUGAGCCACCAUCUUCUUGACUGUGCAAGAGCUCAACGAAAUUUGAGGUUUGGGAAAAGGGAUACGUUGAAGACAUAUCCCCUAAGGUUAAGAGAUGAGAAGAGAUGUCUGUUUAUGAGAUGAGAAGAAAGGAAUGAGAAGAGAUGUCUGUUAAGUGAUGAAAAGAAAGGGAAGAUGCAUCGGGUUUAAUAGAGAAGGUGAAAGAGAAGGAGAAAGACAAGAUGCAUCUGUUAAACAGAUGAAAUUAAAGGAAAAGAAGAAGCAUUGAUCACGAGUUAAAUUUUAAAAACAAACACUUAACUCAAGUUCACAACCAUAUUUGAGUUGACAGUUAUCUAACUUCCCCUUUUACACACCAAAAUUCCAUUUAUUACCUAUAAACACUACCAUAACCUAAUGUUAAAAUGCAUUUAUUGCAAACUAAAGGAUAGAGUUUUGAACUGACCUUUAUGCGAAGCUGAUGCUGUGCUUUAGCUUGAUGUCUCUUCUCUCUACUUGCUGUGUCUUCUCUCUUCCUUAAAGCCAAUCAUCA